GAUGAACGCUAGCGACAGGCUUAACACAUGCAAGUCGAGGGGCAGCACGUUAUGGUGGCGACCGGCGCACGGGUGAGUAACACGUAUGCAACCUGCCCGCAACAGGGGUACAGCCCGGAGAAAUCCGGAUUAAUCCCCCAUAAAACAGUUAUACCACCUGGUAUUAUUAGUUAAAGGAGCAAUCCGGUUACGGAUGGGCAUGCGCAGGAUUAGGUAGUUGGCAGGGUAACGGCCUUCCAAGCCUACGAUCCUUAGGGGAACUGAGAGGUUGGCCCCCCACACUGGUACUGAGACACGGACCAGACUCCUACGGGAGGCAGCAGUGAGGAAUAUUGGUCAAUGGGCGAGAGCCUGAACCAGCCAAGUCGCGUGAAGGAAGGCGGUAUUAUGUAUUGUAAACUUCUCUUGUAAGGGAAUAAAUGAUGUUACGUGUAACAUUUUGCAGGUACCUUUCGAAUAAGCAUCGGCUAACUCCGUGCCAGCAGCCGCGGUAAUACGGAGGAUGCGAGCGUUAUCCGGAUUUAUUGGGUUUAAAGGGUGCGUAGGUUGUUUUGUAAGUCAGCGGUGAAAUAUUUGCGCUUAACGCAAAAGUUGCCGUUGAAACUGUAUGACUUGAGACAGUACGAGGCAGGCGGAAUUCGUAGUGUAGCGGUGAAAUGCAUAGAUAUUACGAGGAACGUCGAUAGCGCAGGCAGCUUGCCAGGUCUGUUCUGACACUGAAGCACGAAGGUGUGGGAAUCAAACAGGAUUAGAUACCCUGGGUAGUCCACACGGUAAACGAUGAAUACUGACUGUUUGCGAUACACAGUAAGCGGUUAAGCGAAAGCGUUAAGUAUUCCACCUGGGGAGUACGCCGGCAACGGUGAAACUCAAAGGAAUUGACGGGGGCCCGCACAAGCGGAGGAACAUGUGGUUUAAUUCGAUGAUACGCGAGGAACCCUUACCCGGGCUCGAACGGCUAAUGAAUGAUUGUGAAAAGCAGUCAGUCGCAAGACAGUAGU
RNAcentral lists this ribosomal RNA (1001 nucleotides) under uncultured bacterium. Its description in RNAcentral is "bacterial SSU rRNA". It matches the Rfam family "Bacterial small subunit ribosomal RNA", at positions 28 to 1033 of the family's 1533-position model. The record is from RNAcentral.